UCCUAUUUUAAAUUUUUGUUUUCCUCUCAUCCUUUGUAAAAUCCUAUUUCUGGAAAAAGAAAAAAUAGCAUCAACAAAAGUAUUCGGCACUUUUUGUCUGCUUUCUACAUUUUCUCCUCUAAAAGCUAUUGAUCGUAAAGAGAUACCGACCACAACUCAUUUGCUUCGCCAGAACAGAGACAAACCAAAGUAGCAGUCAUGUUGCCAAAGUUCGAUCCAACAAACCAAAAAGCGUGUCUGUCUCUGCUUGAGGAUACCACCAGUAACGCAAAGCAGAUUCAAGAUUCCGUGUUGGAAGCGAUACUUUCACGUAAUGCUCAAACCGAGUACCUUAGAGGUUUCCUCAACGGACAAGUAGAUAAGCAAAGCUUCAAGAAGAACCUACCCUUUGUGACCUACGAAGAUUAUCGCUCUUAUAUUGAUCGUAUCGCUAAUGGAGAGCCCUUUGAUCUCAUCUAAGAUCAACCCAUUAUUGUUCUCUUGACCAGGUUAAAAAAUUGCACGUGCAUCGAUUUCAAGUCUCCUAGAGUUUCAUGUGGGUCGGCACUUGCAGUUUCUUCGAUACCUCUUUGUAUUUGCAAAAAAAGCUCGGGUACUUCAGGAGGAGUUCCAAAGUUGAUACCUUUGACAGCAGAGGAAUUGGAACAGAGGAUGUUGUAUGUAUCUCUCUGUAGACCUAUAUUUUUCAAGCACAUCAAAGGACGUAACGAAGGAAAAUCUCUCAUCUUCUAUUUUGAGACCACAGAAAGCGAGACAGCUUCUGGUUUGAUAGUCAGUGUAAUAACUUUCUUGAACGGGUAAAAUGGUCGAGAUCGAUAAAGUUAAAAUUUAGAACCGAGCUUUUGGGAAUUAAAGUAUGAGGAAAUAUGUUGAAUUUCCAUCACAAAAUGUUGGACCUGGUUAAAGGAAAAUAGAAGAUUGGUCGAGCUACUUAAUGGCCGAAUCGCGGGCAAUAAAGAUUAAUCAAGAAAUUUUUAAGUACGGCGUAGUCGAAGAAUUGAUCGUGGAUGAACUAUGAGUCGAGUAAGCUGCUCGACCAUAGUUAGACAAUGUGUUAGAUUGAUCAGACAAACGUUUUGGAAGCAUAACAAUUUUUUGGAAACACAACGGUUUAGAAAUACGAUGUUUUAGAAGUACGACGUUUCCGAAGCCCGCAGUUUUUGGAAAAACUUCGUAUCAAU
Molecule: long non-coding RNA, 1181 nt
Organism: Raphanus sativus (radish)
Lineage: Eukaryota; Viridiplantae; Streptophyta; Magnoliopsida; Brassicales; Brassicaceae
Exons: 5
Source: RefSeq, a predicted model, not a curated record